UACGGAAGGCAGCAGUGGGGAAUAUUGCACAAUGGGCGCAAGCCUGAUGCAGCCAUGCCGCGUGUAUGAAAAAGGCCUUCGGGUUGUAAAGUACUUUCAGUCGUGAGGAAGGUGUUAAGGUUAAUAACCUUAGCAAUUGACGUUAGCGACAGAAGAAGCACCGGCUAACUCCGUGCCAGCAGCCGCGGUAAUACGGAGGGUGCGAGCGUUAAUCGGAAUUACUGGGCGUAAAGGGCACGCAGGCGGUUAAUUAAGUUGGAUGUGAAAUCCCCGGGCUUAACCUGGGAAUGGCAUUCAAGACUGGUUAGCUAGAGUCUUGUAGAGGGGGUAGAAUUCCAUGUGUAGCGGUGAAAUGCGUAGAGAUGUGGAGGAAUACCGGUGGCGAAGGCGGCCCCUGGACAAAGACUGACGCUCAUGUGCGAAAAGCGUGGGGAGCAAACAGGGAUUAGAUACC
RNAcentral lists this ribosomal RNA (454 nucleotides) under uncultured bacterium. RNAcentral's name for it is "bacterial SSU rRNA". It matches the Rfam family "Bacterial small subunit ribosomal RNA", at positions 340 to 786 of the family's 1533-position model. The record is from RNAcentral.